Molecule: ribosomal RNA, 439 nt
Filed under: uncultured bacterium
Lineage: Bacteria
Description: partial 16S ribosomal RNA
Rfam family: Bacterial small subunit ribosomal RNA
Source: RNAcentral
CUACGGGGCGCACCAGUGAGGAAUAUUGCACAAUGGAGGAAACUCUGAUGCAGCAACGCCGCGUGGAGGAUGACGCAUUUCGGUGUGUAAACUCCUUUUAUAUGUCAAGAAAAUGACGGUAGCAUAUGAAUAAGCACCGGCUAACUCCGUGCCAGCUGCCGCGGUAAUACGGAGGGUGCAAGCGUUACUCGGAAUCACUGGGCGUAAAGGACGCGUAGGCGGGAUAUCAAGUCAGGUGUGAAAUCCUACAGCUUAACUGUAGAACUGCACUUGAAACUGGUAACCUAGAGUAUGGGAGGGGGAGAUGGAAUUAGUGGUGUAGGGGUAAAAUCCGUAGAUAUCACUAGGAAUACCUAAAGCGAAGGCGAUCUCCUGGAACAUAACUGACGCUAAGGCGUGAAAGCGUGGGGAGCAAACAGGAUUAGAUACCCUGGUAGUC